CUAAGGUAUGCAAGUCGAACGAACCCUUUUGAAUUACUUGAAACUUCGGUUGAUUGUUUUUCUUUUUUGGGUUAGUGGCAAACGGGUGAGUAACACGUGGAUAACCUGCCUUGAAGUCAUGAACAGCUCAUCGAAAGAUGGGAUAAUACAUGAUAGUCUUACAUCUUCUUUAGAUCUUGUAAGUAAAGUUACGGCGCUUCAAGAGGGGUCCGCGUCCUAUCAGCUAGUUGGUGAGGUAAUAGCUCACCAAGGCUAAGACGGGUAGCUGGCGUGAGAGCGCGGUCAGCCACCAUGGAACUGAGACACGGUCCAUACUCCUACGGGAGGCAGCAAUUAGGAAUCUUGCGCAAUGGGGGCAACCCUGACGCAGCGACACAGCGUGGAGGAAGAAGGUCUUCGGAUUGUAAACUCCUUUUAUAUGGGAAGAAUAGAUGACGGUACCAUAUGAAUAAGCACCUGCUAACUACGUGCCAGAAGCAUCGGUAAUGCGUAGGGUGCAAACGUUAUCCGGAUUUAUUGGGUGUAUAGAGAUGCGUAGGCGUUUUUGUAAGUCUUUAGUUAAAGACCACGGCUCAACCGUGGAAGAGCUUCGGAUACUGCAAAAAUUGAGACAGGAAGAGGCGAACAGAAUUUCCAGUGGAGCGGUGAAAUGCGUUGAUACUGGGAGGAAUAUCAGUGGCGAAGGCGGUUCGCUGGUCCUUGUCUGACGCUAAGGCUCGAAAGCGUGGGUAGCAAAACGGAUUAGAUACCCGUGUAGUCCACGCUGUAAACUAUGGAUGCUAGGUGUUCGGUAUAACUGUUUUUUCCUUCGGGAAAAAAUGGAAGUAUUGAGUGCCGC
RNAcentral lists this ribosomal RNA (838 nucleotides) under uncultured candidate division WS6 bacterium. Its description in RNAcentral is "bacterial SSU rRNA". It matches the Rfam family "Bacterial small subunit ribosomal RNA", at positions 48 to 872 of the family's 1533-position model. The record is from RNAcentral.